Long non-coding RNA from Lycium ferocissimum, 230 nucleotides. RefSeq lists it as uncharacterized. The transcript is spliced from 2 exons. NCBI's taxonomy places the organism in Eukaryota, Viridiplantae, Streptophyta, Magnoliopsida, Solanales, Solanaceae. The record is from RefSeq and is a predicted model, not a curated record.
UGACAAUUAUAGAGAGGCUUUACUGUACAAUUAGCAAUCGAUGUUAAAACCAAAUCCAAAGUCAAUGAAGUCAUCGAAUUGAAACUCAACAGUUGAUUAAAUUCGAAAUUUGAGUUACCUUUUCAGUGCAGCCUUGGUCAAGAAUGGAUUUGAAAGUUCCUUUGUCCUUCCAAUCCCCUCCUCAGCCACCACACAAUGAAACAAAAGCAAAAAAAAAAAAAAAAAUUAAA